This 828-nucleotide ribosomal RNA is filed under the name uncultured bacterium. RNAcentral describes it as "bacterial SSU rRNA". It matches the Rfam family "Bacterial small subunit ribosomal RNA", at positions 636 to 1463 of the family's 1533-position model. The record is from RNAcentral.
UNUGACUUGAGUGCAGAAGGGGAGAGUGGAAUUCCAUGUGUAGCGGUGAAAUGCGUAGAUAUAUGGAGGAACACCAGUGGCGAAAGCGGCUCUCUGGUCUGUCACUGACGCUGAGGCUCUAAAGCGUGGGUAGCGAACAGGAUUAGAUACCCUGGUAGUNCACGCCGUAAACGAUGAGUGCUAGGUGUUAGGCCCNUUCCGGGGCUUAGUGCCGGAGCUAACGCAAUAAGCACUCCGCCUGGGGAGUACGACCGCAAGGUUGAAACUCAAAGGAAUUGACGGGGGCCCGCACAAGCGGUGGAGCAUGUGGUUUAAUUCGAAGCAACGCGAAGAACCUUACCAGGUCUUGACAUCCCGAUGCUAUUCUUAGAGAUAGGAAGUUACUUCGGUACAUCGGAGACAGGUGGUGCGUGGUUGUCGUCAGCUCGUGUCGUGAGAUGUUGGGUUAAGUCCCGCAACGAGCGCAACCCUUAUUGUUAGUUGCCAUCAUUAAGUUGGGCACUCUAGCGAGACUGCCGGUAAUAAACCGGAGGAAGGUGGGGAUGACGUCAAAUCAUCAUGCCCCUUAUGACCUGGGCUACACACGUGCUACAAUGGUCGGUACAACGAGUUGCGAGCCGGUGACGGCAAGCUAAUCUCUGAAAGCCGAUCUCAGUUCGGAUUGGAGGCUGCAACUCGCCUCCAUGAAGUCGGAAUCGCUAGUAAUCGCGGAUCAGCACGCCGCGGUGAAUACGUUCCCGGGCCUUGUACACACCGCCCGUCACACCACGAGAGUUUGUAACACCCGAAGUCGGUGAGGUAACCUUUUAGGGGCCAGCCGCCUAAGGU